This is a long non-coding RNA of Actinia tenebrosa (Australian red waratah sea anemone), 326 nucleotides long. RefSeq lists it as uncharacterized. The record is from RefSeq and is a predicted model, not a curated record. NCBI's taxonomy places the organism in Eukaryota, Metazoa, Cnidaria, Anthozoa, Actiniaria, Actiniidae.
UCAGAGGAGCAGUCGACGAGAAAAGUUGUGUGAAUAUUUUCUGACUAAAAAUCCUUUUUAUUCUCAAAUAUGGAUCUUUAAGGGCUCAUACUGCAUCCUAAAGGCCACCGCAUAGGAUCAAUGUGAAAGGUGUUACCAGUUUCAUCAUUGGAGUCCUAGCCCUCCAGCAAUUACAAAAUAUCUUUGAUCUUUUUCUUAUUUGCUUUUCUCAAUGCAGGCAGAAUAGCUGGUCUGUUGAUUUGCAGCUUUUCUCUGAGGUCUUUCAUAAAUAAAUAUGAAAUAAAGAAAUAAAGAAAAUACUUUGAAUUAAAGAAAAUGAAAACUUU